Molecule: long non-coding RNA, 3057 nt
Organism: Penaeus chinensis
Lineage: Eukaryota; Metazoa; Arthropoda; Malacostraca; Decapoda; Penaeidae
Exons: 2
Source: RefSeq, a predicted model, not a curated record
UUGAUAUUAAUGUUAUUGAUCAACAUUAUUAUUAAUAAAGUUCUUAUUUUGAUAAAAACAAAGAUACAAGGUAGUUAUCAAUAUUAUCAGUAGUAGUAGUUGUAAUUAACACAUAUAUCCUCUGACAUUGAAAAUUGUUCAAAUGGAAGGUCAUCGCAACUAUACCAUAGACUAAACAGUUCAGGGACAGCAAUAAAGUUAUACUUAUAAGGUAAGGUAAUGAUAAUAAUAACAAUGAUAAUGAUAAUAUUUUCUGAAGGCAACAUGAUUUCAUUCAAUUUAAAGUUACAGAUGUACAACUAAAUAUAAAAUAUGGUUGGAAUGACAUUUUUCAAAGUAGAUUUUGCAUUGGGUAAUUAUUAUUGCUGUUACAAUUUCUACAUGAGGAUAGAAUAAUUAUUUCUGCCUAGAGUUCUGAGUAAUUUUUAUAACUUGGUGUCUUGUAAAGUUUCACAGAACAGAGGUUCCCAAAGUCGAAUAAAUGGGAUUUACUCAAUAAAUUUGAUUUAUUAAAUUUUUUAUUUAUAUAUAUUUUUUCUUUUUCUUUUCUUUACAUUCAUUCACAUUUAUAUUUAGUCCUCUCAUUUUAGGAUCUUGUUAGUCUUACCAGAUUGAGUAACAUUAUUAAGUACUGUGACCUAUAUUACUUAACAAAUCCUUUAAACUCAUGGCUGCUCGGUAUUCACACUGUCUACUGUAUUUUUCCUUUGUGUAUUUGCACACAGAUGGCUGCACAAGUAAUCAGCAACUAAUGAGUCAAUUACCAUACUUGUGUGACUUCACCUGAUUUUCCAUUUCCUUAAGGUUUCAGAAAAAAAAAAAUUAAAUGUCAUUGAUAGUGAUGCUAAUUUCAUUACAUUAUGAUUAUUAUAAUGUUACCAAUAGUACUUAUAGCAGCAAUAAAAAAAACGAGGAAUAGGGUAAGUAGAUGAGUUAGAUAGACUAGUUAAGCAUUUGCGAAGUCAUUAAUGUUUAAAAACAAUCAAUAAAGAAAAAGAAAAUUCACACAUGGUACGUAUUAAAGGCAUCCUAACAUCGCUGUGUUGAAAGUCUAGGUAGAAUUACAGGUAAAAUUUAAACAUGGUAGUUUGAUGACGUAAAACUUCAAAGGACGAUUAAUUAGGAAACUAUUGCCAUGUAAAGCAGGACAGUGACUAGAGGCUAACUGUUGGUUCAUUAAUAGAAGUCAUUUUGAAAAUUUUUGAAAAUGUCAAGACACUUCUUUCUGCAUCGAACCCUUUUAGAAGGUCUUUAGAAGCCAUAAAAAAAUUUACUUGUAUAAUCUCAUGCAGUAUUUAAACAUUUAUUUAAAGUUGUAGACAGCUCAGAAACAUAACAUAACAGUGGGUCGGGAUAAUGGUUUUGCAGUUCUAAUUUUAGUUUUUUAUCAUAAAGACCAUGAUGGUAGGACAGUCUGGCCAAUGUGUGAUUUUUUUGUCAGUUCAGCUUGAAAACUGGUUGAAUUUUGUCUUCAUGAAAGAUUUAUGGCAUAUAUAUGAAUAAUAAUUAUUGAUAAUAAUUUUUCAUGAUCAAUUUGCUCUUCAAAACAUAACUUGAUAGUUUAUAUCAUACUUUAUCCAUAGUUUAUUACCAACAAAAUAACAUGUUUCAGAAUUUAUAAACAAUGCAAAAAUACAGUGAGCAGGAGGAGUAAGUUAAAGCCACACGUUAGGUAUGCUGAAAAGUAGACGGAACUUCUCUAAAUGUACCUGAGUUAGCAUCAGCACACUUGAACAACAUUCAGGAGUUAUAAGUGAUGAAAGGCUCACUGGUGUUGAAGAAACUCUGCUGUAAUUAAGAGCCCUCAUUGUCCACAACCAAUGUAGAUAAGAAGUAUGUGAUUCUUUUAGGAAACUCUUUUGUGGAUGUAAGCCUUAAGGAACUUAUUUUCCAGACCUUUACCCCAAACCUUAAGCAUUUUGACCACAAACUGAACUGGAUCCCAGAGUUUGUUACCUGUCUGUGUUGGUCUUGAAUACUUAAGUUCACUUUUGUGGGCAACAUUUUUUUUUUUUUUUGUAUGGCCUUGUUUGAUUGGGACAUGUCAGUCAAUAAAAUCCUCUUUUCAGCUGUGAAGUUAAAGAAACAGGAGACUGAAUUUUUAUACACAACUAGAGGAAAGGGACAUCAAACAGGGAACAGCAGUUGGCAUCAUCUUGUUGCAGAGUUAACCUUCAAAAAGUACCAGUGAAUGAUAAUUUGAAACCUGAGUGUCUUCCCCCUAGUUAAGGUGUAUUGAAGAUUGGUAUUGUUCAAGGGCCUAUUGUAAGGGAAGGAAAAUUAACAGGUUACGUGAGCCAUCCUUCAUUGAGGAUUCUUCCGUUCUGAUGAUACAGUUCUUGAGGCUACAUUCUUUAGCACCCCAACAGAUAAAGGUGGUCCCAGAUGCAAUAAGGAAGGGAGAAAAUGGAAUGACAAACACAAUUCAACAAGACCUGGACAGUUUGAAUUCCUUUGGGCUGGUAUAUGUGAUCUGUUUUUUUUCCCAAAAAUAGUUUUUUAGGGGUUAUAACUCUAUAUAUGUUAAGUUUAGAACCUAAUGAUCCCUACUAAUUUGAUGCGUCUGAUUGUUUUAGGGUGGCUGUUAAGCUCUCCACAAGCUUGCUAAUUGAAGCUGCAAAAGUAGCAACUGCAGUUCUAGAUGGACCAAAUUAAAGGGUCUUUAUUUAAAAAAAAAAAAUUUACCCCCAAGCCCAAAUGUUCGUAAACUUCUCUUGGUAUUACUGAUGACCAAGUAGGGUGGUGUGAUACAGAAAAACCUAUAUGACAUAGUGCAGUUGUUUGCUUAGUUGAUAACAUACAUCAUCAUCUAUCAACCUGCAGCACCUUUGAGGCAAUGCAAGCCGAAUACUCUGCAUUAACAGGCAAGUAGCAAUAUCCUUUAUUCUUCUGUAAGCAAAAUUGAACAGGUAAACAUAAUGUAACUUAUGGACUCCACAAGAUAUACACCUUUUAUGUAAUGAUCACAUCCUCAAUUUUAUUUUGUUUACAGGACUGUAAAUAUGACUUGAAUAAGAUCCUCAGUAGAAAGUAAAAUAUAUGGUAAAGACAACAUAA